RNAcentral lists this ribosomal RNA (459 nucleotides) under uncultured bacterium. RNAcentral's name for it is "partial 16S ribosomal RNA". It matches the Rfam family "Bacterial small subunit ribosomal RNA", at positions 339 to 795 of the family's 1533-position model. The record is from RNAcentral.
CUACGGGACGCACCAGUGAGGAAUAUUGGACAAUGGAGGCAACUCUGAUCCAGCCAUGCCGCGUGCAGGAAGACGGCCCUAUGGGUUGUAAACUGCUUUUAUACGGGAAGAAACCCAACUACGUGUAGUUGGCUGACGGUACCGUAAGAAUAAGCACCGGCUAACUCCGUGCCAGCAGCCGCGGUAAUACGGAGGGUGCAAGCGUUAUCCGGAAUCAUUGGGUUUAAAGGGUCCGUAGGCGGACUGAUAAGUCAGGGGUGAAAUCCAACAGCUUAACUGUUGAACUGCCUUUGAUACUGUUAGUCUCGAAUUAUAUGGAAGAAGAUAGAAUGUGUAGUGUAGCGGUGAAAUGCUUAGAGAUUACACAGAAUACCGAUUGCGAAGGCAGUCUACUACGUAUAUAUUGACGCUAAUGGACGGAAGCGUGGGGAGCGAACAGGAUUAGAUACCCUCGUGGUC